Molecule: ribosomal RNA, 450 nt
Filed under: uncultured bacterium
Lineage: Bacteria
Description: bacterial SSU rRNA
Rfam family: Bacterial small subunit ribosomal RNA
Source: RNAcentral
UCAAGAAACUUCCACAAUGGGCGAAAGCCUGAUGGAGCGACGUCGCGUGAUGGACGAAGUGCUUCGGCACGUAAACAUCUUUUAUGUGGGAUGAAAUUAUUGACAGUACCACAUGAAUAAGGGGCUCCUAACUCUGUGCCAGCAGGAGCGGUAAUACAGAGGCCCCAAGCGUUAUCCGGAAUCACUGGGCGUAAAGGGUGUCGAGGCGGUUGUAUUAGUCGUUCGUAAAAUCUACGAGCUUAACUUGUAGGCGGCGAACGAAACGGUACGACUUGAGGUUUGGAGAGGUGCGUGGAACUCACGGUGUAGGGGUGAAAUCCGUUGAUAUCGUGGGGAACACCAAAGGCGAAGGCAGCACACUGGCCAAAAUCUGACGCUCACACACGAAAGCUAGGGUAGCGAAGAGGAUUAGAUACCCCCGUAGUCCCUGAGCGGGCUGGCAAGGCGCAU